GUCACAGGCUCCCUCCUCUCUGCAAGUAGUCUCAAGGCCAAAGACAGGCUGGUGGGAAAGCUCCAACCAGCAAGGCCAUAUGCUCCCCCUCCCCUACCUAAAACCCCAAAUAAAAACCCUUCCUUUUAGCUUUUCAGGGAGUUUGGGAUUUCAGCAUUAGCUGCCCUCUCUCCUUGCUCAGCACUGUGCAAUAGUUAAAUUCCUACUUUCUUCCACUACCGCCGGUGUCAGAGAUUGGCUUGCUGUGCAAUGGGUGAGCGAACUCACUUCAGGUUUGAUAUCAAUUUGGUGACCCAGAUGGGACAAUGCCCCAGGUGGACCACUUGCCUGUGGCACACCAGCCUCUGGCUAAAGGCCUCUCUUGGAAGCUGUCCUGCAGCUGCCUGAGCCCCUUUUCUCAGGGACAGCCCCAAGCAACUGGCUGCUAACCAGAUGUCAGUGGCCCAUGGCGCUUUGCUUUGGUGGUGGAAGAAACUAGGUUUAGGACUUAGGAAGACAUCUCUCAUAAGUAGCUGGUAGCUUUUGUCUUUGUCCUUGUGCUAACCUUUUCCAGCAGGACCAGCCAAAAAUAAUGGGCACCCAGCAGCCUUCUGGGUUCCAUUUGUUUUGAAGUUGCGACAUCCCGGCCAAAUUUUGAAUCCACUAUCCUCCAUGGAGACAGACACCACCAAGGACAAGCCCUGGAUUCAUUAUCUCCUCUUUGCAAAGAGAUACAGGCUGGUGCGAAAGCUGCUGACCAGCAAGGUCACGGACUCCCUCCUCUCUGUAUAACAGACUCAGAAAGUAUUGGGUAAGCUGAAUAGAGUUCCGAGAAUGCUGGGCACAUUCGCCGAACAAUCAAAACACUUCCAACAGAGAGGGAAAAAGAAAAGCAGAUCUAUUGAAAAACAUUUUCAUGACACAGAACCAUGGAAUUAAAUGACUUUCAAAGAAAGGUGUAAACCUUACAAUAAUUUCAAGUCACAUUCAGUAUGAAGCAAAGAUUUACAUGAAAGAACUUUUAGAUGUAUGAACGUUCAUAUGAGAGAAAUGUGCUCAGUGAAGGAGAGAACCCAAAAUGCUUUGCAAUAGCCUGGCCAUUGCUCGAGCAUGAUGACUUCAAAAGAAGCUACAGAAAGAAAUGGAAAGUUGGAAUAAAUACUGACCAAGCAAGGAAAGGACAGAAUAAAAAUGAGUUCCUGUGUCUAUAUAUCCAAGUCCAGAUACCAUUUCUGUAUGGAUGAUCUAGAGAUGAUAAAUUCACAGCAUGUCAAAACCUGAACUAAUCUCAAGUUUGUUACCAAAUUUUUUCUCCAGAUCUUGUUUGAUGAUAGCCCAUCUACCCAGUUACCCAAUCACAGACCUCAGAGUCAUCUUGGAAUCCUCGCUGUGUCCCAUUUUCCCCCAUCUUUUACCAAUUCUAUUGAUUUCGCUGCUAGUGUCUAGACACUCCUUUUAAUGUGUAUGUUAAUGAUAUGAAUCAGAACUUCAUCAAUCUCUUGCGUAGCUCACUGUAACAAUGUCUUAAUUGAUCUCCGUGUCCCUGGUGUUUCUCCUUUCAAUCUAUUCCCCACAUUGCUGCCAAAAUAGUCAUUCUAAAAUGCAAAUCUGAUCAUAUCGCUUCCUUGGUAAAUAUCCUCCAAAGUUUCCUGAUACCAAUUGGGAUAAAAUCCAGAUUCCUUAGCAGAACAUGAAAAGCCCUUAAUAGGGACUACCCUCCUCUCCAUCCAUUCUUUCCAUCAGUAGCCCCUGCUCAUCCUUCCAGACCCAGUUCAGGAAUUAUCUCCUCUGAAUAUUCACUCAUGAUACCCUUAUCUGAAUCAGCUUCCCUAACCACAGCACCUUGCAAUUCUUUUUGGCUUAGAACUUAUCUUAGUUUGUUGUAAUUGAGUGACCAUGUCUCUUUAUCCUACUAUUCUGCAAGAAACUUAAGGAAAGAAGCCAUUGUUCUUCAUUUCUGUAUCCCCAGCAUGGAACACUAAUACGUAGAAAGCAAUUAAAGUGUUUGAGAAAGAAAGGAAAUAGGAAAGAAAAAGAAAAUAGAAGGGAUCAACUAGAUAACUCUAGAAAAUUUUUAACGCUAAAAUGCUGUCUCUGUGAUUCCAUUUAUUUGGGCCAGACCCCCAGGUCAUACACACAUCAUCUACAGGCAGUGAGGGGUAAACUAUCAACACCAAUAAGCUAUUCUUCCAUUCUCCAACCCCAAGGGAAAGUGUUCCCUUAAACUCACCACAUAAAGACAACAAGGAUGCUUUAAGGUGAGAGAAACCUGUAGUAGUAUACAUUCUUAGGAUUACCAGGAGAAAUAGAUCCCCAAGUGGUAGACCAGGGAGCUGAUUUUUACCUCCAAAGCAACAAAGCUCAUGGAAGCAUUGUGUCACCCUCCCUUCCUGCAGCCAUCAACGCUGAGUGCCAGGGAGGUGAAGACUCUCCACACACUAGGGGGUACUCUUGGACCAGCAGUUUCCAUGCUCAUUAAGUUCUCUUUGGAUUUUGCUUCUCUUCAAAUCAAGUUAAAAUGUAUCUCCCCUUAUUCCUAGACUCUGGGAAGUAGAUUUGGUUGUGCCUUCUUCUGUAGCAUACCCAUAACUCUUCUAAAGAAUUUAUCACACUGUUAUUAUUAUUGUUAUUAGAUAAGUGUUCAGAGACAAUUCUCCAAGGGUCUCUUGCGUUUCUGCCCAUUUGAGCAAAGACGUUGACAGCUUUUGCUUCCAACUAUCUUUCCAAGGAUGUUUGUAUGGCAAACUGCCUUUGAGCAUGGAGAUAGUAUCUCCCUUCAAGGGAGAAGAAGGCAGGUUUUUCCUAACCUAUCUUGGUAAUAAAGAUAAUGUCUCCCACUGAGGUGAAGGUUAGGCAAGUUUGCUAGCAGCCUCCUUUGUGAGAUUGGGAGCUUCCAACGCUUAUGUUUCCUCAAUUGUGAUACAAACCUACUGUAGACACAUCUACCUGGGCUACUUUACAUCACCGCCAUGGAACUAGAGGAGAGGGGAGGAAUCCAGGAGAACAUGAAGUUCAUGCUGCCUGCUGUGCCGUGAGUAAUAAAGUUUUCUCUGAUCCAGGAAUCUCAUGUCUUAUGUCAGGAUCUAUGAACCUGCAGCAGACUCACUUGUUAAGCAUUUAAACAGAGCGAAAUCCCAUACCUUUUUCAAGUUCCUGCUAAUGUGCAGUGUGUUUGUGUCUGUGUGUGUGUGUGUGUGUGUGUGUGUGUUUAACCUAUUCAGCUUCUUCUGACCGUGAACUCCUUAAGAGUAAGGAUUGUAUCUAAUCCAUCCAGGGAUCUCCAAGACUUAACCUAAUUAAAAUUAAAAUAGACAUUAGCCGAAUAAAAAUGUAAUGAGAACAUGGGUAGUCAAGAAGAGGAAAAGGGGUCAGGGAAAACCUACCACAUAAUGUACAGGUCUUUUCAUCAUUUAAAUUAAUGCUGCUUUUCAUUAAGUUGAAUUAACGCUAUUGUUCUGUUAGAAAAGAUAAAUAGACUGUUAUCCAUGUAUAUUCUUUACAUGACAAUUAUGACCUUAACCCAACUCUUGCAUUGUCAUUCUAUCCUCAUAUCAUAAGUCCCCACUCACCUACCCACCAUCAACCCUAAAGUUCAAAGUAUAAAAUCAUAUUUUGCAAUAAAAGACACUGAGGGAUUCUGACUGAAAACAUACCAUAAGGAAGUAGGGGUUUAGACCUGUGUUUCAGAUGGGAAUGUUGCUUCUGGACUCCAUUUUUGGUUAACGUUGGAACCCAUCCUUGUUAGUCACUCCUGCACUGUGGGUGGAUGUGUCUGGAGAAAUGACUCUAUGUAUGUGCAUUCAAAGAGUUAAAGCAUCAUAACUAAUAAAAAUUGGGUCCUGAGUAGUUUUGUUGUGAGUCUCUUUCUUCUGAGUGUGAAACUGAGGAAAGAAAUGUCCUCCUCAUUGAGAGGAAACCUCAUAGCUGGACAAAGCAUUCAGAGAAGUGGGAGGUUCACUGGUGAUAGCAAUGGGAUCAGGAGGUGAGGCAUAAGGACCAGGAGGAACAGAAAAUGUAACUGUGAGUCUCCCGAAGCCCUUGAGGCUGCUCUCAUUGGCUUAAGGAGAUGGGGCUCCAACGAACGUGGAGGCACCUGAUGGACUGGAUAUACCUGACAGAUAAAGUUAUCCGGGUGUCAGCCUCACUGGGGUCCAGCCAAAGGUCUGAAUUUCUAUUUCUUCUAAGAUAACUGAUUCAUG
Molecule: long non-coding RNA, 4178 nt
Organism: Equus caballus (horse)
Lineage: Eukaryota; Metazoa; Chordata; Mammalia; Perissodactyla; Equidae
Source: Ensembl